GGCAUUUGAUAAAAUGGAAACAAAAGAAAGACAUAACAAAGAAAAAUCGAUGCUUUCCUACUUUCAUUAUUGAAAGAGCUUUUCCUUUGGUAAAGAAUAAGAUGAACCCGUACAGAGGUAGUGAAAACGUCAAGAGAUGUGCUUCGCUUUGAAAGAUGCUUUUUGGAGUCACAGGUUGGGCCAUUUUUUGUCUUCAGCCAAGCUAUGCAAACUAAAGAGGAAGAGUUCUUUAUCUGGGGUGUAAAUGAUUCUGAGCCUAUGCUCCAUGGAAGUCAACAAUGGUUUAGAGCCUUAUCUGUUGGUGAGCUUGCAUGGAGUCAACAAGGACACAUGACUAUUAAGAGGCUAGAAAUUGAGUAUCCAGUGGAGUUCAUCCUUGACAAGGUCUCUUCAAAUGGCUCAGACUGACUGGCAAUCCUUUGGUCUUCACUUCUUGAAUGUUGGGAUACUAGGCCUCUGCCAAUGUGCUACAGUAGACUUUUAGUAGUUACCAGGGGAUCUAGAAGUAUCCUGAUGGACUUUUGACUAAGGACGCCAGAUGAUUCUCAAUCUCAUCAAAUUAACAAUCAAAAUCAACCACACAUCCCCAAAGAAGAGAAUUCUGGACCCAGAAAACAGAACUGGCAUGUGAUCUUUUCACAAGCAGAAAGGGUGAGCCACAGCUUCUAUCUCUUCCUUCCAUUACAAAUUGAUGUAUUAUUUAAGGAUGAGGGCCUGGAACUCUUGUCAAUCUUUGAGUGCUGGUAAUCUAUCCAACAAACAUGGUAUCUUUUAAAAUUCACACACACACAUACCAAAAAAAAAAAAAAAAAGCUUUCUUGUUCAGAAGGGAUUGCUUUGUUAUAACUGCUUUUAAAAUAACUGUUGUUCUGAUAGAGUUGAAGAGCCUGGGUGGUCAGGGACCUUGGAAGUAUAUUUUCUUGUCUUGGCUACAUUUUUUUCCUAGCCCAUGGAAUAGCGGUUUAUUUAAUCUGCUUGCAGUUGACACAUGUCUCCAUCCACUUCCCAGAGAAAUCCGAGCUAACUAAAAUAAGUCCUGUGUAAAUAAAUGUCUCCAAUCUAACCCCUACAGUAAUAUCGCCUCUUAGAUUUUCCUUGAAGAUCUGUCAGCAGAUCUGCAACUCUGGAACCCACCCCAAUCGGAGCUGUUGCUCAAGUGCAGCCUGGUAUAAACUCUGAAAGAUGGGCCAUCCUCAGGCACGCUCUUCCUCCACCACACAAAGAGCUCCUCCCCAUCAGUCAAGUCAGCAACUGUGGAGCUUGGGUCCCGUGCCAGAUUCUUGGCUACAAAUGAAAGGAUAGAAGUAAUCCUGUCCCUUUAGCAGCUCAUGUGCUGACUGGGAAAGCAGAGUUAUGAAAAGACUGCAACCAUUGGAAGCGUGUCCAACCAAUCAUGCUGUGGGAUGUUCUGUAUGGCAAAUGUGUUGCUAAUUAGUCAAUAAAUAAAACACUGAUUGGCCAUUGGCUAGGCAGGAAGUGUAGGUGGGACAAGGAGGAGAAUAAAGCUGGGAAGUGGAAGGCUGAGUCAGAGAGACACUGCCAGCCACCACGAUGAAAAAUAGCAUGUGAAGAUGCUGGUAAGCCACGAGCCACGUGGCAAGGUAUAGAUUAAUGGAGAUGGAUUAAUUUAAGCUGUAAGAACAAUUAGCAAGAAGCCUGCCACGGCCAUACAGUUUGUAGCCAAUAUAAGUGUCUGUGUUUACUUGGUCGGGUCUGAGCAGCUGUGGGACUGGCAGGUGAGAGAGAUUUAUCCUGACUGUGGGCCAGGCAGGAAAACUUAAGCUACAAAUGGCGUCCAAUGUGGUGGCAAGAGUUUCCAUCUAAAAACUGAGAAAAAAGAUUCUAAAACAGAGCUAAAAACAGUUCCUAAUUGUCUCUCUCAAAUGAGCAGCAGCUGCCGGUUUGAGCUACGUGUGGGUUUCUGGUGUGCGUGCUUGACCUGCAGUAUGGCAGUAAUGAGGCCUCUGCACGUGGCACAUUAAGCUGCGUGGUGGAUUUAGCCUUUCCAGGUACAAAACAAAAAAAAGAGGUUUCUGGACUACAAGCUGCUUGGAUAAAAGCAUAGACCCAUGAUAGCUCCCAGAGCUGGUGGUAAAGUACCACCGCCAUGUUGGGAAGCUGAGGUGGGCGGAGUCUGCAGCCACAGCUGCUGCAGUUUAAGGCAAUAGAUUCACAAUAAGACAGAUUCAGAUGUAAUAGUUUACAAUGUGUGUAAAAUAUACGUAGGCAUAAAAGAGACAAAAAAGGUGAUAUAUAGAGUUAUAGAAACAAAUACAUAGUUUUAAAAAAUAAAGUCUUUAAAGAGACAGUAAAGGUAAUAUAAAAAAUAAGCCACGUAAAGAUGAAUAUUACACAGAGAAUCUGGAUUGUGUUGUCUUUGGGAUUUUUAACUGCAGAAAAACAUUUGAUUGUAAAAGCUGUUGAGUUAUGCCAAAAUGUAUAUUUUAAAGAUACCUUGACUUCAAAAUUUGGAUAUAAGGAUAUGUUGCUUUGGAAAAGAGUCUCUUUUGUUUCCACAGAAAGCCAGAGGCUAUGGAUUUGUUCAAGAUUAAGAUACAUCAGGUUUGACCAGCCAAGACCCCCUGAAAGGUUUCCAAUGACACGAUGGCCCAGAUGAUCCAACAUCCAGAAUGGUUUGAAGGCAACUGGCUCAGACGAUACAGCCUCAUGGACUAUUCCAUAAUCCUAAAAUUUUCUUUGUUUCCCCAUAAGAUACAGCGCCCCCCUCCAGCAGGAAGUAGUAAGAGAAGCUAUGCCCAAAUUCCCAAAUUAUAUGUUAUUUUACUUUGUUAAGGUUAAAACCUUCCUUUUUGGAAAAAAAAAAGGGGGGGGGAAGUGCUGUGGGAUGUUCUGUAUGGCAAAUGUGUUGCUAAUUAGUCAAUAAAUAAAACACUGAUUGGCCAUUGGCUAGGCAGGAAGUGUAGGCGGGACAAGGAGGAGAAUAAAGCUGGGAAGUGGAAGGCUGAGUCAGAGAGACACUACCAGCCACCACGAUGAGAAACAGCAUGUGAAGAUGCCGGUAAGCCACGAGCCAUGUGGCAAGGUAUAGAUUAAUGGAGAUGGAUUAAUUUAAGCUGUAAGAACA
Peromyscus californicus insignis is the source of this 3085-nucleotide long non-coding RNA. RefSeq lists it as uncharacterized. The record is from RefSeq and is a predicted model, not a curated record. The transcript is spliced from 4 exons. NCBI's taxonomy places the organism in Eukaryota, Metazoa, Chordata, Mammalia, Rodentia, Cricetidae.